Molecule: long non-coding RNA, 1409 nt
Filed under: Homo sapiens (human)
Lineage: Eukaryota; Metazoa; Chordata; Mammalia; Primates; Hominidae
Description: long intergenic non-protein coding RNA 3007
Source: RNAcentral
AACAGUUUGGAAACUACAAAAGUUUCCCUGGCAGGAUGAAUGAUUGACUCGGCAACAUGUUCUUGCCUUUUGGAGUUGCCCUCCAAUUUUUCCAGGCUUGAUUCUGUAAAUCAUUUCAUCUUGUAAAAAUACUGGGCUGUGAGCACGGAUGAUCUCAAAGAUGAGGAAACAGAAGCUGGGAUAUGUGAGUAAACAUUUCCAAGGUCCUGCAGCUAAUCAAUGGUUGACAACUUCUUUCCUCUGCCUAUGUUGCCAUCCAUGUCAUGGUUUGUGUCAAGACUCUAGGAGAAGUCUACCAUCAGCACCACAGCUACUGUGCACAAAUCCAGAAUGCCAGACUGAAGUCAGAAGGAAAGGGAAAUGUUCUUAUCACCCAUUCCUGUCAGAGAUGAUGCAGCUCAUUGCUGAUGCUGAGAUCCAACGUCCAGUGCCUGAGUACCCCUGGAUUCUGAGCACUAGGGGCUGGACUGUGGAGACCAUCAGUUCAUAACAUCCUGUCCCUGCUCCCUGCUGUAGAUGACUGAGACCAGGUAACAAAGACACUUAACUUCAUAAAUUAAAAAUGUGUAAAUUAUAAAAUACAUUUUUAAUUAUAGAAUGAAUUGAUGUUCAGCAAAGAAAAGUUGAAUGUAAUAAAACUCUCAUUUAUUUCCAUUAUUUGCUUUCAUCAUCAAAGGAAAAAAAGCAUCUCUCUGAAGUUAAAUGGCAUUUCAUUUUGAUUAAUUGUAGAAAGAAGAUUGGAAAAAUCUCCCAUGACCAAGGAAAAUUGUGAAAAAUAUUUCUGAUAUUUUGUCUAUGCAUUUUAUUUUUGAGGGUGUUUUUUAUAUUAGUGUGACUAUUUUGUAUUUCCUACCCUGUUGUAAACUUUUUAAAAAUUGCUCUUACAGUUAUUACUAAGUAUAUGAUUUAAAAUCCCUAAUUAGGGUUCUUAAACAAGGGAGAAGCACUCUCAUACCCCUAGAACAAGAUGAACAAAAGAAGGAGGAAAAAUCUUGACCUCCGUAAGAUCCAGGAUGGCACGUGCAAGGCACUGACACAGCAUCUGCCGGCAUCACUGACUCUCCUGGACCCCAGAAGCCCAGUUCCCCAGGCUCUGAAACCCUGCAGCAAUGAAAAGGAAGCACAGGCAAACCAUAAGGAAGAUAAUUUUUCUACUAAAAAAUAAAUAGAAAUGCAUCCUUAGAGGCAGGUUUCAUGAGGACACAGAGAAUCCGGUUUUGUGUGUGCCUGAUUUCGUUUUUCUGUCAAAGAGAUACAAAACAAUCAACUGAGUUAUCUUGAACUUACAAAGAUUAAAAAUAAUCAAUUCCUGUUACUAUUUUCAAUUUUUCCCCCAUUUUACUUCUUUAGGUAUGAAGAAAUGUAGCCUAUUAAAACCUGGAUUAAUAAAAACCUUUCAUUAACUUUUA